ACCUGAAUAUGUUCUAGCAUAGAGUGGCCAAGAUUCCUCAAAGUACCCAUCAUAUUCUGGUCCACAACAUCUCCUUUUGUACUACAGUAAGAAUUGCAAGAUCCAUCAACGGAAGAGCAUAUUGCACUGCUCUGAGUACCAGCAUCAUUGGCAGAUUUUGUAACAUCAAUUGCCCCACUUCCUUUUUCACAUGUCUCCUCGUCAACAUUACUCCGUCCAAACUUCCAAAACCAUUGGAAUUUACCAGAAAGAAGCUUCCGCUCCUUCGGAGCUGUCACAGACUUUUCAGUUGUUUCAUUGUUGCUCCCAGAAAUUAGAGUGGCGUCAUUGGGGAGAUGGGAAACAGGAAGUGUUGCAUCUUCUUGGAUAACCUCAGGAUGAUCAUCUGUUUCAUCAACUGACAAAUUCGAUGCAACACUACUUUUCUCUGAGUCAUUUUCAUGAUUGUUGGCACCACUGAGAGGACUAGAGGGGUCUGAGAAUACAGAUGAGUUUUCCUC
This 500-nucleotide unclassified non-coding RNA is filed under the name Hevea brasiliensis (rubber tree). The record is from RNAcentral. Lineage: Eukaryota; Viridiplantae; Streptophyta; Magnoliopsida; Malpighiales; Euphorbiaceae.